This 538-nucleotide small RNA is filed under the name Pongo abelii (Sumatran orangutan). RNAcentral's name for it is "retained intron". The record is from RNAcentral. Lineage: Eukaryota; Metazoa; Chordata; Mammalia; Primates; Hominidae.
GACUCUCCAUUUCUUUUCCCUCCCUAGAAUCAUUGCGAUGAUGAGUCCAGAGGACAGCUGGGUCUCCAAGUGGCAGCGAGUCAGUAACUUUAAGCCAGGUGUAUAUGCGGUGUCAGUCACUGGUCGCCUGCCCCAAGGAAUCGUGCGGGAGCUGAAAAGUCGAGGAGUGGCCUACAAAUCCAGAGACACAGCUAUUAAGACCUAGCAAGAUGCAGGGCUGCCAGCAUCUUUGCUCUCCACCUCCUGCCUCUGCUUAUUUCUUGUUCUGGAACUAAAUGAACAGAACUUCAAAUGAACAGAACCUCCAAUUCAGACUCAGCUGACUGUUGAGAGAGCAGCACAUCAUUUUAUCAUUUUAUCUUCUUUGGACUACAGGUGGGGUGGGAGGGAUUUGGAUUGGUGGAUUAACAGAUAGAAUUGAGGAGAGAGUAGGAUGCUGAUUUUCCUACCCGUGGCCCAGGUCUGUGCCUUCCCCAUGCCAAGGACUCUAGGUCAAAUGUCAAUAAAUACGAACCUCGAGAAAGUUCUGAAGGCCAUG